UAUAUAUAUAUAUAUAUAUAAAGAAUUAGGCUGUAAUACUAUUAGUAGUAAAACGCUCUUUUUGCUAUCAAGUUUUUAACCCUUGGAUGAAAAAUUGUAAGAUUAGGAUGAUAUUAGUCAGUUAGAGUUGAGUAGUCCCCCUAGGGUUGAGUGCUCUCCACUAGGUUAUAGUAUUUAAUCCAAUGAUUAGAAAUGAUGAAAAGAGUUGAUCCAAAAGCUAAAAAACUGAUAGCAAUAAUGAAAUUUUGCUACUAAUAGUAGCCCAGUCCAACUCUAUAUAUAAAACUCUAUAAUAAUCACCAAAAUGACUUGCUAUUUGUUAUACAUGGUUGGUACUCAUAUUUAGGGCUUGUUUGGUUCAUGAUUGAAAUAGGAAUGGGAAAUGGAAUGAUGAAUCGUCCAAAAAUGCUUGGUUCAUUAUUGGAAUGGAAAUCGGAAUGAAAAUUUAAAAUUUUUUAGAGAGGGUUUUGAUUAAGAGAGAGGAAAGUGAUGAAGGAUGAGGAGGUAGGUGUUGAUAAAAGAGGAUUUUGAAUAAUUUACUUUGGAAUGAACCAAUCCGGGAUUCAAAGCCGGAUUGGAUUAUAAAUGGAUUUGGCCAUCCCCAUUCCGGAGUGGAAUGGAAAUCGGAAUCCGAUUUCUAUAAAACAAACGGCAACAAUCGGAAUCAAUGAAUUCCAUUCCGAUUCCAUAGUCUAAAAUAGGUGAACCAAACAUGCCUUGUUUCUUUUUUUCAUGGUAAGAGACGGUAUUAGU
This 753-nucleotide long non-coding RNA is filed under the name Ananas comosus (pineapple). RNAcentral describes it as "long non-coding RNA (ACOM_LNC019355)". The record is from RNAcentral. Lineage: Eukaryota; Viridiplantae; Streptophyta; Magnoliopsida; Poales; Bromeliaceae.